UGCUAACUGCUUGCAGAUGAAAGUCAGAGUGAAGUUUAGAGCUCCGGCUCGCCAACAAAACAAUGCCCGGCACUGCGACCUGGCCACGCUGCCACCUGUCCCCACGGCCAGGCCACAGCAGCUGUCUGGAGGUUUGGGUCCCACCACCACGUCCAUAAAACCAGAGCGUGUUCUAGCUAGCGUGUCCUCAAGGACAAAUGCAGUAUCUGGUGCUGCCACACAGUGGUGAAGAGGCAGUUCAGAAGGCAACAUCUGCAACCCUGGAGGAUCUUCGGAGCCUGAGACAACCCUAGGCUGAUCCCACGGGACACCCAGGAAGGAGCUGUGGGGAGCUGGCAAUUUAAAGCUCUUUGGCAACCAGCCUGACUCUUCCCUGAUGGACACGAUUCCCUGCAUGGUGCUCCCGAAGCCCAGAAUUUCUGUUUAUAUCCUGUUACGUUACCCAAACCAAGUAGCCUCCCAUGCUGGGCCUCCUCACAGGUUUCACAGACUCACAGGCUCUUCUCAAGGCUCUGGGGUUAAUGCAGCUGCCUUGCUCUGGGCUACUUCACUCAACAAGACCCUUGAGACAGGAGCAUGGAUGCUUUGCUA
Long non-coding RNA from Oxyura jamaicensis (ruddy duck), 591 nucleotides. RefSeq lists it as uncharacterized. The transcript has 2 exons. The record is from RefSeq and is a predicted model, not a curated record. Lineage: Eukaryota; Metazoa; Chordata; Aves; Anseriformes; Anatidae.